This 265-nucleotide ribosomal RNA is filed under the name uncultured prokaryote. RNAcentral describes it as "partial 16S ribosomal RNA". It matches the Rfam family "Bacterial small subunit ribosomal RNA", at positions 524 to 788 of the family's 1533-position model. The record is from RNAcentral.
UACGUAGGUGGCAAGCGUUAUCCGGAAUUAUUGGGCGUAAAGAGCGCGCAGGUGGUUGAUUAAGUCUGAUGUGAAAGCCCACGGCUUAACCGUGGAGGGUCAUUGGAAACUGGUCGACUUGAGUGCAGAAGAGGGAAGUGGAAUUCCAUGUGUAGCGGUGAAAUGCGUAGAGAUAUGGAGGAACACCAGUGGCGAAGGCGGCUUCCUGGUCUGUAACUGACACUGAGGCGCGAAAGCGUGGGGAGCAAACGGGAUUAGAUACCCU